This 3039-nucleotide long non-coding RNA is filed under the name Capsella grandiflora. RNAcentral describes it as "long non-coding RNA (CGRA_LNC000052)". Lineage: Eukaryota; Viridiplantae; Streptophyta; Magnoliopsida; Brassicales; Brassicaceae. The record is from RNAcentral.
ACUACUUUAAUGGAAAAAAGAAUCUUAUUAAUAAUAGAGUUCCUUCAUCCUUGAAUACAAUAUACAAUAUAUUCCAAAAGCAUCAUAUUCUCCUUCCCUAAACAUUAUUUGGGUUUAACAAAACAAAACCUUUUUCAUUUGUUAAAAUAUAAAUUAUAUCACUGUGCCUUACUUGGCAAGGUAGGUAUACUCUGUUCAUUCCUGAAGAAGUUAUCUGGAUCAACCGUGGUUUUGAUCUUCACUAAUCGAUCGAAGUUCUCUCCGAAAUACUUUCUUCCAUACACUUCUCCUUCCUUGUAACUAUUCGUACCGUGAUCGUUUACACCGAUAUCGACAUCUCUGUAAUUCAAGUAAGCACUCCUAGGGUUCUUGCUCACAAACCCUGUCAUGAAACUGUACAGAACCUUAGCCUGAUUCAAGAAACCCUUCUCUAUCGAGGCAGAGUUUUCUUUCCAGUUCACAGAGUACUGAAUCUUGAAAAGAUUGUUUCGAUGCGGAAACGGCGUCGCAUUAACCGCAACUUCCGCCAUUUUCCCACCAUACGGAUUGAAAACGAGCCCAAUUUUCCCCAACUCGAUCAUCUUCUUGAACAAAGACUCAAUCCCAUCUCUAGGAAUCUCACUCGCAACGUAAUCCGAUUUCCUCUUCCCGAAACUCGCGGUAUCAAGAUUCCGAUCAAGAAACACUUUAGGAUCAGUCUGAGUAGCGUUUUCAUCAUUAUCCCACCAUAGAGCCGAUUGAAUCCAAGUCAUUUCCUCACAAACCUCCUUCUUCAACCCCAAUUCAGGAAACUCCUUAGCAAGCAACGCAACAACUUCGUCUGCUCUGCCUAAGAACAGAGCAACCACAGUAGCUCUCACAGUCUUCACCUUCUUCCUCGUCACGGGUUGAAUCAACAUCCUCAUAAACAGAUUCGGAUCAGUCUUGGGACCAACGGAUUGCCAUUUGUAAACCAUAUCCACAGCUCCUGAAUCCAUAUACUGCUCCACUCUAAAUACCGUAACAGUCUCUGGUACAGGAACGAGCUUGACCUUGUAUCCCAACACAACGCCGAAGCUAGCUCCUCCUCCGCCGCAGAUCGCCCAGAAAAGAUCGUCACCCAUUGCUUUCCGAUCCAAUAUCUGACCUUUGACAUCUACGAUCUUCGCAUCUUCAACGUAAUCCACAGAUAAUCCAAAUUUUCUUACCAUGUUACCGUAACCAGCGCCGCUUAUAUGCCCACCGACACCAACCGUCGGACAAACUCCGGCGGGAAAGCCAUGGACUUUACUUUUCUCCCAAAUUCCGUAGUAAACCUCUCCGAGAGUGGCUCCGGCGGAGAUCCACGCCGAUUGGGCGGCGAUAUCGACGGAGACGUCGCGGAGAUUAGACAUGUCGAGGAUGAAAAAGGGUUUGUCAGAGAUGUAAGAGAGACCUUCGUAGUCAUGGCCGCCGCUUCUGAUCUUAAGGAGGAAAUUUAAGGAUUUUGAGCAAACGACGGCGGCGCUGACGUGGCUGUCGGAGAGAGGAGUGACGAUGAUUGUGGGUUUGGGAGUAGAGGAAGUGUUGAAUCUGGCAUUGCGGAUGUAAGCACGGAGGACGGAGGAGAAAGCAGGGUUCGUCUGAGAGAAGACAUUGUCAGUGAUUUGGGAUUGUGGGGAUUUCGUCUUGUCGGAGAAACAUUGAACGAAGGAUUCGUAGAUAGAAUCCGACGACGGAGGUGCAGCAAAUGUGGUUGAGAAAGGGAUAGAUACGAGGAAGAUGACAAACAAAAGGACAGAGACAAAGGUUUGUCCUUUAAUCAUCCUUCCUUCCUUCCUUGUAAUGUUUGUGUGAUUCGUUGUUUCUUCUUCUCUGUUCUGUACUUUAUUUAUAACCGCUAAUCAUAGGAGAUAAUGUUUUUUCUUUUUAUUAUUUAUUAAUCAUCUUAACUUCAGUAUAUAUAUUUAUUAAGCAUAGUGGCAUAAUAACAUAUGGAUUUUUAUUUCUGUUUUGCUUUGUUAAUUUAGAGUUAUUUUAAUUAAUGGUCAACAUUUUUUUGGUCAAAGGUCGUAGUGAUUAGCUAGGAACUGCAGAGGAAAAGUAUCAAAUUAGGCCUAAAUUAAAGCAAAUUAGAUUAUUUUUUCUCUGUCCUGAUUUGAUUUCAAAAAAUUUCAUGACUUUUUUUAGUGGACUUAAAUCAAAGUUAUUUAUACAUAUUUCCAUUUAAAUACAAAUUAACCUUAACUUAACUAUUAAGUGUAAAGUUUGUGUAACAUAUAUAGUAGUAAACUAGUAAUCAAAAUCUAUAAAACUUCAUUUGAUCCAUUCACAAACAUUUCCAUUUUUUAAUGAAAAUCUUGAAUCUUUUAAUUAUUCUUGCGACUUCAGAUAACUUUAUGUAGUUUCAAAAAAAUAAAAGAAAUAUUUUCAGAUAACUUCUAAAGAUCUGAAAACGAGUGAGGCUCUGUUCAUCUUAUGAAGAGAGAUCAUCAUCAGUCAUCACUCGACGAUUCAAAACACAACAAAAAGCAAAUCGCAAGAUUCUAGAAGACGUGUAAGACAACCGUGGCAGCUAUGGUGGCUUUGCCAGCUCGUGACCACCGUCUUGCCGUUCCCGACUCAGGCAACAACGUUCCCUUUGCAUCUGCGACCAAAUUGGGUCCAAAAAUGUCAACACUAUACACAAAAUUGCAGGUCACAAGAAUCAUCCAUCAACUACUCCAAACCAAACCAUCCACAAUUAUAGCCUUAAAUUUGAACAGCAGGUAGCUGUUUUCAACAAUCACUAGUUUGGAAUUCACCAGAACUUUUGACUUAUUACAUAGGCUUGUCGUUAAGUUCCAUGGACAAAGAAAAUAUACAAUCUACAAUAUCCAAAACAAUGUAUUCUAUAAUAUGCUUCACUACAACAUUACAUUAAAGCAAAAGCCAAUGUUUUAUAUCAAAUGACAAAUUGAUGUUUUAUGCCUUACUUGGCAAGGUAGGUAUACUCUGUUCAUUCCUGAAGAAAUUCCCCGGAUCAACCGCAGUUUUGAUCUUCACCAAUCGAUCGAAGUUCACUCCGAAAUACUUCCUUCC